AUCUAUUGAACUGAAACGGCGAGUGCAACUGAAAGUCAAGUUAGAAAUGAAGCUAGAAAGCGAGAAGUUGUUUCUGUUUCCCUGUUUCAAUAGAUAGACAGAUUUGAACUAAUACGAAACCCUUCUGGAUCCUUAUUUCGUUUGCCGUUCGUAUCGCUACUGAAUUUUGAAGUUCUCAAGUGUUUCUACACAUCUUUCAUUGUGGAAUCGAGAGCAAAAUCGGAGGAAGAAGUUAUACGCCAGGAGACCCAGAAAUAUAACCCUGAUGAAUGAAGAAACCCUAUAGAGAAUCGAAGGAAAUCAUUUUGAAAACGUCGUGGUACUUUUAGGCAAAUGAAUCGCAUACCUGACCUACACCCACCUACGAGUAUGUAAAUCGUCUACCUCUCUCGCUAAUUAUCAAAAAAUUAAACCCAAUAAUUUACACAAAGCGAAGAAGAAGAAGAAGAAAAAUAAAGGAUUAGAACAAUUGUGCGAUAUGGGCAGCGCGGCGCUUCGUACCUAACAUUUUAAUUUCCCGUUUGACCUUCUUUUAUUGGACCAGGACCGCAAAGUUGCAGUGUAUAAAUACGUUUUAUACGCGAAAAAAUAAGAUAACAAUGGCGUAAUUAAUUUCUUAAACAAUGUUAAUUAAGUGUUGUAAUGAAUCGCUUUUCUGUCAUGAAUGAACUUGAACUCUUUUUCACGAGGAAACUUUCAAAAACUGCUGGCCCAAGCAAGUGAGAAAAACCGCAAUGGCGUAAAUUUCCUAUCACCCAAUCGAAUUAACACGACGUAUUUGUGGACUUUAUUUAGCUGUGAGCUCAUAUACUGAACAUGAAGAGAUGAUCUUCGUCGAUAGUACUCCACCAACGCGACGAUGAUGAAGAAAAUUCGCGGUUUAUGAUUAAUCAAAUUACGUAAGAGUCGAUCGCUGCAGAUUGCAGAUUAUUCUUGUUCUUUUUUUUCACAUCUUGAUUACGCUGCCAUUGUUUAAUAAUAAA
This is a long non-coding RNA of Planococcus citri (citrus mealybug), 983 nucleotides long. RefSeq lists it as uncharacterized. The record is from RefSeq and is a predicted model, not a curated record. NCBI's taxonomy places the organism in Eukaryota, Metazoa, Arthropoda, Insecta, Hemiptera, Pseudococcidae. The transcript is spliced from 4 exons.